RNAcentral lists this long non-coding RNA (201 nucleotides) under Sorghum bicolor (sorghum). RNAcentral describes it as "long non-coding RNA (SBIC_LNC004567)". The record is from RNAcentral. Lineage: Eukaryota; Viridiplantae; Streptophyta; Magnoliopsida; Poales; Poaceae.
GCAUAUACCUCGAAUCCCUCAACUUCUCGAACCGAAUCUCCCUACAUAUCCACUCAUCAGCAACUUUUCCAUUAGAGUGGACUGCCGAUGUGUCGACCCGGAGAUCUUACACAGUAAAAUAUCUCCCAAAAUCAUGACCGCUUGCUGUCAAAUCACCUGUACAAUCCCUUGAUUACCGUGCAAACAGUUACCAUAUCCACC